This 465-nucleotide ribosomal RNA is filed under the name uncultured bacterium. Its description in RNAcentral is "partial 16S ribosomal RNA". It matches the Rfam family "Bacterial small subunit ribosomal RNA", at positions 338 to 795 of the family's 1533-position model. The record is from RNAcentral.
CCUACGGGGUGCUGCAGUGGGGAAUUUUGGACAAUGGGCGCAAGCCUGUUCCAGCUAUUCCGCGUGUGGGAAGACGGCCUUCGGGUUGUAAACCACUUUUGUAGAGAACGAAAAGUCUGUUGAUAAUACCGAUAGAUGAUGACGGUACUCUAAGAAUAAGCACCGGCUAACUACGUGCCAGCAGCCGCGGUAAUACGUAGGGUGCGAGCGUUAAUCGGAAUUACUGGGCGUAAGGGGUGUGCAGGCGGUUUUGCAAGAUGGAUGUGAAAGCCCCGGGCUUAACCUGGGAAAGCCAUACAUGACUGCAAGACUAGAGUGCGUCAGAGGGGGGUGGAAUUCCAAGUGUAGCAGUGAAAUGCGUAGAUAUUUGGAAGAACACCGAUGGCGAAGGCAGCCCCCUGGGACGCAACUGACGCUCAUACACGAAAGCGUGGGGAGCAAACAGGAUUAGAUACCCCUGUAGUC